Chiloscyllium plagiosum (whitespotted bambooshark) is the source of this 341-nucleotide non-coding RNA. NCBI's taxonomy places the organism in Eukaryota, Metazoa, Chordata, Chondrichthyes, Orectolobiformes, Hemiscylliidae. The record is from RefSeq and is a predicted model, not a curated record.
UGCUGCUUUUUGUUGACACUGCACUUUAUGAGCAGAUUGUUUGUGCUGAAGUGAUGCAAAGGAGCCUGGCAAACAGAACUGAGGACAGAAAGGAGGAGCUGUGCUUUUGGAUGUCAGUAAUGUUUCUUUUAUCUAGCAACAACCCACAACACUGGUGAAAAUCAAGUCAGUCGACCUUUGUGAAUAUUUCAUCAUCUGUCAUGUGGGGUUUCAACCUGUGCCCCAGAACAUUAUCUGGAUCUCUGGAUGACUAGUCCCUUGAUAGUAUCACUACACCAUCACUUCUCCUGAAUCUUCUACCAUCAACAUCCUUGAAAUUAUUAUUAUUCAGAAACUUAAUA